ACCACUUUCUGUCUUGGGAAUGGUGUCAACUGGUGAAUCAGUACCUUCUUGGGAGUUUGGAAUCUAAGUUGUCACACAGAAUUGUUCACCAGCUCCUUCACAAUCUGAAGCAGUAAUUAUUGGGCUUGAAAUCCAGACAAAUCCAUUUUCUUGGAAAAACUUAUGAGUAGCGUAGGCCAAAGCAUUCCUCACUCUCGCAACCUAAACCAGCUUGCAUGAUACAAAUAGACAACAUUAUUCCCUCAAAAAGGAAACAAUGCAAGAACCUUACCAUCACUCAUGA
Telopea speciosissima is the source of this 283-nucleotide long non-coding RNA. RefSeq lists it as uncharacterized. Lineage: Eukaryota; Viridiplantae; Streptophyta; Magnoliopsida; Proteales; Proteaceae. The record is from RefSeq and is a predicted model, not a curated record. The transcript has 2 exons.